Molecule: ribosomal RNA, 250 nt
Filed under: uncultured bacterium
Lineage: Bacteria
Description: partial 16S ribosomal RNA
Rfam family: Bacterial small subunit ribosomal RNA
Source: RNAcentral
UACGAGAGCCCCGAGCGUUAUCCGGAAUUAUUGGGCGUAAAGGGUGCGUAGGCGGUUAUAUUAGUCGUGUGUUAAAUAUCCGGGCUUAACUCGGAAACUGCGCACGAAACGGUAUGACUUAGAGAGAAGGAGAGGUGUGCGGAACUCAUGGUGUAGGGGUGAAAUCCGUUGAUAUCAUGGGGAACACCAAAAGCGAAGGCAGCACACUAGCCUUUUUCUGACGCUGAUGCACGAAAGCGUGGGUAGCGAA